GUCGAUUAUGUCUUACAUAUGGUGAUAGUCGAUUAUUUGGAGUCAGCUUUCUGCUACAGAAAACCACCGGUUUGUGAAUUUUCAUACAUGUUUUUAUAGCAGCGUUUUUGCAAAUAUAACAGAGACCACCUUACAUACAAUACAUAAACUACAGUUAUUUUUAUUUGUAGGACUUCACAGACGAGCAAUUGCUGCGGAAGGUGUGUGUUGAAGAGCUAG
Anastrepha obliqua is the source of this 219-nucleotide long non-coding RNA. RefSeq lists it as uncharacterized. The transcript has 3 exons. Lineage: Eukaryota; Metazoa; Arthropoda; Insecta; Diptera; Tephritidae. The record is from RefSeq and is a predicted model, not a curated record.